AUGAUACAUUUUAGAUCUCCCACAUUUUUCCCUUGGAGAUUUAUCAGGAGAUGGUGUAGAGGUUUGCAUAUAUUGGAGCUCUCAGACUUGAAGAAGGAUAUAGAACCCUCAUUGGAUAUAAACUCCAUAUCAUGUCUCACAUAUCCAAGCCAAGUGUGCCAAGAUGAACCCUGUAUGUCCUUGUAAGUGCUUUUCUAUGACUAGAAGCUUUAGAAGACAAAAAAAAAAAAAAAAAAAAAAACCUUGUAAGUGCCAUGUUCCUUUGUGUGCUCAUAAGGUUGUUUUAAAACGUCCUUUAAUUUAGAAACAAGAUAUGGCACACUUUUAAAAAACUUAAUUUAGUGAUACCAAAAAUUUUAACACAUUUUUCUGUCAGGUGUUCUUUGAAAACUAAAUUUCUGCAGCGACUUGAACUUUGC
Molecule: long non-coding RNA, 419 nt
Filed under: Sus scrofa (pig)
Lineage: Eukaryota; Metazoa; Chordata; Mammalia; Artiodactyla; Suidae
Description: lncRNA (ENSSSCG00070027788.1)
Source: RNAcentral